UGCAUCAUAAAAAAAUCAUAACAAUAUAAUGCAAUAAAAAACCAUAACAAUGUAGACAUCAAGCUGAUAUCCAUUUAUGUUCAACGAGAACCGGAUAUCCUGCACUGGUUUUGGCCCCCAUUUAGUUUCACGAGGCUACGUUGGGCUUUUACAGGGCUUGGCCUUUUGAAAGGCUGUUCUUGGCCCAUUUAGAACCACCGUCUCGGGCCCAUCAAAGGCUGGGUUGGCAACGAGAAAAAUGUUAUGGGAUUCGGAUUUGCUCAAACACGCACGCACACAAAAAAAAUCCUCUCAUCUUCCCUCAGGGGAAAAAAAUCCUCUUCUCAUUGCUCGGCACAUCUCAAUUCGAUGCACAAUUUUUCUUUUUACAGCCUUUAAUUGCAUUAUUUUCUUUAUAAUAUGAAUUAUUUUCUAAAUUCUCUCCCUUUUUUUUCUUUUAAGAUUCUGCAUCUUUGCCCCAGCCAAAUUGUUCCUUGUUCCCAGAUGAGUAACAUGUGACCAUGCAUCCACGCACUUUAGAGGUAGAGGGAACGGAUACAGAUGAUUAGGCUCAAAACUAAAUAGCUUAUACUUUUCUAUAUCAAGAUCUUCUUAUAACCCGAUUCAAACUCUCCAUUUCUCACCAAAAUCUAAUCACCCCAUAAGCUACUAAAAUGUUUUGCAUCUUUGCCCCCAGCCAAAUUAUUCCUUGUUCCUAGAUGAGUAACAUGUGACCAUGCAUCACGCACUUUAGAGGUAGAUGGAAUGGAUACAGAUGAUUAGGCUCGAAACUAAAUAGCUUCUGC
RNAcentral lists this long non-coding RNA (785 nucleotides) under Phoenix dactylifera (date palm). RNAcentral describes it as "long non-coding RNA (PDAC_LNC000349)". The record is from RNAcentral. Lineage: Eukaryota; Viridiplantae; Streptophyta; Magnoliopsida; Arecales; Arecaceae.